This is a transfer RNA of 71 nucleotides. It matches the Rfam family "tRNA". From Rfam's summary of the family: Transfer RNA (tRNA) molecules are approximately 80 nucleotides in length. Their secondary structure includes four short double-helical elements and three loops (D, anti-codon, and T loops). Further hydrogen bonds mediate the characteristic L-shaped molecular structure. tRNAs have two regions of fundamental functional importance: the anti-codon, which is responsible for specific mRNA codon recognition, and the 3' end, to which the tRNAs corresponding amino acid is attached (by aminoacyl-tRNA synthetases). tRNAs cope with the degeneracy of the genetic code in two manners: having more than one tRNA (with a specific anti-codon) for a particular amino acid; and 'wobble' base-pairing, i.e. permitting non-standard base-pairing at the 3rd anti-codon position. The record is from Rfam.
AAGAGUAUAGUUUAAUGGUAAAACCGCAAACUUCAAAUUUGCAUUUCUUAGUUCGAAUCUGAGUACUCUUG